UCAACUUAGCCUCGUCAUGACACCACGUGACCAGCGAAGUCGUUUUUCUGUUAUAAAUGAGCUUCUGGCCACCUCAGCAAGAGAGCAGCUGGGGUAACGACAUCUGAAGAGAAAAGCUCCUAACCAAGGUAGUCAGCGAAACACAAUGAGGGCGCAAACUGUGGUGUACCAAGCUGCCGCCUGCCUCCUGUUUGUCAUGGGAUAUCAAGCCAUGAGGAUUCCUCGCGAUCCAUCAGCUGAAUAUCAGAUAUCAAGUUCGUGCUCCGCUACUGGCGGGACUGUACCGAUAUUACCGAGUGCUGCUCCUCCAAUGACGUGUGCCUCAAGCUACCCCACGAUCCAAUGAAGCCUAACCAACCACCCAAAAAUGGAAGAAACGGCCACUGCGUCUCCAUUCAGGUUGAUGGUCAAACGGACUUACUAAACUCAGGUGAGACUUGCACAGACAGUCACCAGUGCAAGGACCGAUGCUGUCGCGAAAUUUCUGCUCAUCGGUCAAGACACUACGUAUGCGGGAAACCUUACGAUGUACAUGCUCACAGGUGUGUCGCUCAAGCUCUUGGGAAUAACAUUCCAGGUGACAACCUUUAACCUCAACCUGGAGAUUGACUCUCAUGCUGAUGCCGACGGCGUUUGACUCACAAGUUUGUCCCCGUCUGUCGUCUAGUUUUCAUUUAAAUUGGUAUUUAUCAUGUUAAUGAUAUGGCUUGUUACUGUAUGCAGACCUACAGUGUUCAGUCAUAACAAAAAGUUAAAGAAAUAAUUUAAAUAUUACUUCUUAUAGUCAUUACAAUUUCAGUACUUCGGACUUAUUAACAGACAUAGUAACAUCCAGAAUACGUUGCCUCUAACGUCUACAAAAACUUCAUCAUAAGAAAACUUAGUUCAAAGGUGUCAUUGUAUUUCCAGCAUUCAGAGAUUUUAUUUAUUUACUCUUAUGUCCGUGCAAGAAAUUAAAAGACGAAAUAAAUACCGAUCAAAAUAAAA
This is a long non-coding RNA of Pomacea canaliculata, 987 nucleotides long. RefSeq lists it as uncharacterized. The record is from RefSeq and is a predicted model, not a curated record. NCBI's taxonomy places the organism in Eukaryota, Metazoa, Mollusca, Gastropoda, Architaenioglossa, Ampullariidae. The transcript is spliced from 5 exons.